CCCGGAAAGUGUAACUUCUUAAAACAUGAAGUCACAUAUUUAGGUCAUCUAAUCACUGAGAAAGGCGUUUGUUGUGGGCACACAUACAAUAGGGUGUGUGUUAAACGGUUUGACCGUUAUUAAAUAAAUAUGCAAGAAUAGCCUUCGCACUAAGUCUCAUGUUACGAUGCGGUAGCAUAAGACUAUGCAGAUGGCAAUGAUCCCACAACGCGAGCGUGGAAUAUGCUGACACUACAAAACGUGACCAGCAAACACGCUACUUUCGAAGCUAACGCAAAAGUACAGAAACUUUUGUCGAACAGUUGCUGCUUUACCACCAAACUAAGAACUGGUUCAUAGAUCUCCGGAAGAGAGUUAAAAGUUGUGCCGGCAAGAUUGGUAAAAAUCAUUUGCAGUUUUUUAAUUUUGACUUCAAAUCGAAAAGACGGAAGCAAGUUUUCAUUCAAGAAACCAUAAUAAAUUACUAAUAUUGUUAAUGAAAUAAAUGCUAAACUAAAUUGAAUUAGUUAAAUUAAAUUAAAUUAAUUUGAAUUAAAUUGAGUUGAGUUGAGUUGUGAACGGAACUAAGUUUGAGUGAGCGAACAGAGAAUUCGAGACCGUUUCGUUUUCGUUGCGAUUUUGAUUUAUUCAAACACUUGUGGCAAUAAAACCAAAAAUAAAUAUAUAAUUAACAUUAAUUAAAAGAACAAUUUUAAUGGAACCGGGCAACAAAUCCACAACAAGCAAUUAACCAACAUAACGAAGGAAUUUAGUAGAAGAGCAGCAGAACCAAGACAGACGUAACAUAGCGACUGAGUACAACGGAAAUAGCAAAGCAGCGACAGUGUCUAGGAGUAAGAACUAGACAGGAUUUUUUUAUCAAUAAAAAAGAAACUGAACCUUAUCCCGUGUGUUUUACUGUCAAAGAUAGAGGCACAACAAAUUGGCGCAGCCGGUAGGAUGCAGUCAUCAUGGGUUGAUUGGAAAAUACAAUAAAAGACAUGCCGAUAAAGAAGAGAAAACCAUUGAACAACCAUUCUAUUCUGAGUGUGGUCUAUUCAACGGCUGAUUUAAGUAGAUAAUCAAGAUCGAGAAGAAAAUUUUGACAAAAUUUCAAAAUGCUAAUUCACAAUUAAUUUAUAAUCAGUAGCCUGAAGAAGACUGUAGACUGUAGUCGAUAUAUCAGUAACCAUUAAUAUUAUUAUAUCUAUAAUUACUUUAAAAAUUUUGAAACAAGGAAGCCUGAUUCGAAAUCAAAAUGCUAAUUGAAACAACAUUUGAUGAAAAUGUCAAAAACUGUUCCCAAAUCUAUCAACACAUCAGCUGCCUAACAGUCUACAGUAAAUGAAGUACAGAAUAGCUUUAAUAAAGUGCUUAGUCUCUUAGUUGAUGAUGAACUUCUUGGCAGCUUGAAGCAUAACAUCACCAACCAAGCUUCACUUCAUCAGUAGCAAAACAUUAAUAGUAGUUGAAAGCUUACAAUUAUCUCCAGAAAGCUCAAAAAUAUUGGAUAUAUGCUGAUAUCAGAAACAUUUGACAUUACUUAUGACGAGACGAAAUCGUUUUUCGUAGUAGAGUACACUUUUUGCGUAAUAAAUUCAUUUUCAAAAUUAA
Long non-coding RNA from Teleopsis dalmanni, 1593 nucleotides. RefSeq lists it as uncharacterized. The transcript is spliced from 3 exons. NCBI's taxonomy places the organism in Eukaryota, Metazoa, Arthropoda, Insecta, Diptera, Diopsidae. The record is from RefSeq and is a predicted model, not a curated record.